AUGAAUGACGCUGGAGAGCUCGGGCAUAGCACCUUUCAAAAGGUGAGAACCGCUUUGCGUAUGUUGGCAUACGAUAUCCCGGCUGAUCUAGUUGAUGAUCAUUUGGCCAUGGGUGAGAGCCAAGCCAUCAUGUGUGUCAAGCGCUUUGCAGUCGGAAUUGUCCAAGUGUUUGGCCAGGAUUAUUUAAAAUCUCCCAAUGCUGAAGACGCCGCAAGGCUAUUGGAAAUGAACAAAACUCGCGGCUUCCCAAAUACGCUUGGCUCAAUAGAUUGCAUGCAUUCGAGUUUGUGUUUGAUCUUUUUCCUUGUGUUUGGGAUGCAUAUGUUGUAUGUGGAUGAGUCACGCGUGCUACAUUUUAGCGCGCUGCUGGAGCUACGCGCGCGCAUUACAUUUUAG
Molecule: ribosomal RNA, 396 nt
Filed under: Triticum aestivum (bread wheat)
Lineage: Eukaryota; Viridiplantae; Streptophyta; Magnoliopsida; Poales; Poaceae
Description: partial small subunit ribosomal RNA
Source: RNAcentral